GCGUGAGUGAUGACGGCCUUAGGGUUGUAAAGCUCUUUCGCGCACGACGAUAAUGACGGUAGUGCGAGAAGAAGCCCCGGCUAACUUCGUGCCAGCAGCCGCGGUAAUACGAAGGGGGCUAGCGUUGUUCGGAAUCACUGGGCGUAAAGGGUGCGUAGGCGGAGACUUAAGUCAGGGGUGAAAUCCCGAGGCUCAACCUCGGAACGGCCUUUGAUACUGGGGCUCUUGAGUCCGGAAGAGGUGAGUGGAACUGCGAGUGUAGAGGUGAAAUUCGU
Molecule: ribosomal RNA, 275 nt
Filed under: uncultured bacterium
Lineage: Bacteria
Description: partial 16S ribosomal RNA
Rfam family: Bacterial small subunit ribosomal RNA
Source: RNAcentral